CCUGCGACCUCAGUCAGCGCGAUACCAUUC
RNAcentral lists this ribosomal RNA (30 nucleotides) under Solanum lycopersicum (tomato). RNAcentral describes it as "partial 28S ribosomal RNA". Lineage: Eukaryota; Viridiplantae; Streptophyta; Magnoliopsida; Solanales; Solanaceae. The record is from RNAcentral.